RNAcentral lists this ribosomal RNA (451 nucleotides) under uncultured bacterium. RNAcentral describes it as "bacterial SSU rRNA". It matches the Rfam family "Bacterial small subunit ribosomal RNA", at positions 28 to 476 of the family's 1533-position model. The record is from RNAcentral.
GACGAACGCUGGCGGCGUGCCUAACACAUGCAAGUCGAACGGAACUGUUUUGAAAGAUUUCUUCGGAAUGAAUUUGAUUUAGUUUAGUGGCGGACGGGUGAGUAACGCGUGAGUAACCUGCCUUCAAGAGGGGGAUAACAUUCUGAAAAGAAUGCUAAUACCGCAUGACAUAUCGGAACCACAUGGUUUUGAUAUCAAAGAUUUUAUCGCUUGAAGAUGGACUCGCGUCCGAUUAGUUAGUUGGUGAGGUAACGGCUCACCAAGACCGCGAUCGGUAGCCGGACUGAGAGGUUGAACGGCCACAUUGGGACUGAGACACGGCCCAGACUCCUACGGGAGGCAGCAGUGGGGGAUAUUGCGCAAUGGGGGCAACCCUGACGCAGCAACGCCGCGUGAAGGAUGAAGGUUUUCGGAUUGUAAACUUCUUUUAUUAAGGACGAAAAAUGACGGU